Molecule: non-coding RNA, 196 nt
Filed under: Mesorhizobium australicum
Lineage: Bacteria; Pseudomonadati; Pseudomonadota; Alphaproteobacteria; Hyphomicrobiales; Phyllobacteriaceae
Source: RNAcentral
UAUCAAUCCUCGCGCCAUGGUUCCUGCGGGCACAUCGUUCGCAGGCUAAGAGGGAAGCCGGUCAGAUACCGGCGCUGCCCCCGCAACUGUAGGCGGAGAGCCAAGCCCACUCAUGUCACUGAGGCGAAAGUCUCGGGAAGACGGGCAAAGGCGACGACCCGCGAGCCAGGAGACCUGCCACGGCGAAGUAACGUCC